CCUUCUUUCUUUUACUUCCACGGAUCUCACCGACUUCCUUCUUUGUAGCAUUCUCAUUUUGGGGGCCAUAUCCUAAGAAGAGGGUGGAUAAUGGUCAAGAGGGUGGAGAAAGAUGCGGAUUGAAGUGAAACUAAGUGGAGAAGAUGAUUUUUGAAAAGUUUCUUACGAAUUUGAGGGUUAGGGUUUGGAAUUUGGGAAAAUCAGAAAAAUGAGCUGUAAGAGCAGUAAAUUUGGGGAGAGU
RNAcentral lists this long non-coding RNA (241 nucleotides) under Elaeis guineensis (African oil palm). RNAcentral's name for it is "long non-coding RNA (EGUI_LNC031316)". Lineage: Eukaryota; Viridiplantae; Streptophyta; Magnoliopsida; Arecales; Arecaceae. The record is from RNAcentral.